RNAcentral lists this transfer RNA (75 nucleotides) under bacterium. Its description in RNAcentral is "tRNA-Val". It matches the Rfam family "tRNA". Rfam says of the family: Transfer RNA (tRNA) molecules are approximately 80 nucleotides in length. Their secondary structure includes four short double-helical elements and three loops (D, anti-codon, and T loops). The record is from RNAcentral. RNAcentral also lists the same sequence under 4 other names.
GGGCGCAUAGCUCAGGGGUAGAGCGCUACCUUGACAUGGUAGAGGUCCCAGGUUCGAAACCCGGUGCGCCCACCA